This 468-nucleotide ribosomal RNA is filed under the name uncultured bacterium. RNAcentral's name for it is "partial 16S ribosomal RNA". It matches the Rfam family "Bacterial small subunit ribosomal RNA", at positions 28 to 507 of the family's 1533-position model. The record is from RNAcentral.
GACGAACGCUGGCGGCGUGCCUAACACAUGCAAGUCGAACGGAAAGGCCCUGCUUUUGUGGGGUUCUCGAGUGGCGAACGGGUGAGUAACACGUGAGUAACCUGCCCUUGACUUUGGGAUAACUUCUGGAAACAGCGGCUAAUACCGGAGAGGAGCUCCUGCAGCACGGUGGGGGUUGGAAAGUUUCGGCGGUUUGGGAUGGACUCGCGGCUUAUCAGCUUGUUGGUGGGGUAGUGGCUUACCAAGGCUUUGACGGAUAGCCGGCCUGGGAGGGUGGACACCCACCUGGGGCCUAAGGUACGGACCAGUCGGCAACGGGGGGCAACGGGGGGAAGUAUUACGCAGUGAGGGGGAGCGUGAGACGAAGGCCCCCGGUUCGUGAAGACGGCCUUGGGGGGAGAAACCGAUUUCGCCUGAGACGAAGCGUGAGUGACGGUAAUGGGUAAAGAAGCACCGGCUAACUACGUG